GGGUGCACAGGGCUCCCCCUGGGUUGCACACGUGCAGAGUGAGUUCUGUGAACCAGGAGUGACAGAAAAUCGUAGGCUCAGGGAAGCGCACAUUAGCUUAUCAGCUCUCAUGGUCACACAUCUUUGCACCUAUUGAUUUUCUUCCUUUUCAUGUUAAAAGAGGUCACAGAUAUGAUCUGGCUUCAGAAGUAUAAAUUGCAGGCCCAGUAUACCACAGUGUUUAUAUUUUUCUUAAAGAGCGGAGAACUACCAGUGUCACAAAAUGCACUUGACAUGUGUCACCUCUCUUUCCGGUGGAGUUUCGUGUAUUCCAGCGGGAGUUCUUUAGGUCAAGAACGUAAGAGCCAGGGUGACACUACUAGGAAUGGCCAACGGAACAACUGCCGUCCCGACCCAAUGAAGCAACACGAGCAGCCUGGUCAUCUGCCCGUCUUCCCCUUCCAAUAAGGCAGGUCAAGAACUAAUGAGAAAAUCACGGAUAGGAACAUCUGGAUAAAACUCACCCACGAAGUAAAUGUCACAUUUGAUGAAGCCGACAUGUGACAAGUGUCGGGGUGUGACCUGAUGCUCCCCCAUGUUUCCACUCCUGUUCAUAGUGGUGUUACAGCUUGGCCGGCCCAUAGACUGAACAGGCAGGCAGGGCCAGGUACCAGGAGGGCCUUCCCAGAUCCAGUCAGCCGCCAGCAUCCUAGAUCCUGAAAGGUUUUAUUCCACAAUUUCCCCUCUGAUAAGAUACAGAAAGUAGAACAAGUGAUUUGUGAGAAGUAAAUCCAGACAGCUGCCAGGUCUCACAGUGAACAAGGGAGCAUGGGGUUUGCUGGAGAAAGCCAGCCUUCCUCACGGCCUCUGCAGCGUUUGAUGAACCAGACAGUGGCACUAACCCUGGCUCCAGCCUCAGAGGCCCGAGAACCGGGCGCCUGCGGUCCCUCUGUGCCAGUCGAGCAGCGUGGCGUCCACAUGGCGUCCCCGGCAGGCUGAGGCGGGACAGGCCGCCGCCCCAGAAACCUGAGUUAGCCUGGUGCUGUGAGCUGAGCUCCACGGGAGGGCUCCCUCUGAGCACCCCAGUCUUGGGGAAGAUCUCCACCGUGUUUCUUCCAGAAUCAAUUGCUCACCAAAUUCUGUGGAAGACGUUAUACAGGUGCACACGUUCAAGACACCACACAGGGCUGAGAGCGUGUCCUUCACCGUGGAAGGUGUAGACGACACGGAGAUGAGGGGUCCUGGUGAACAGGUCCUCCUGAAAGGUGGGAGACUUCCACCAGGAGGAUUAAGACAUGCCAGGAACGAGAGGAAGAGGCCCAGGAGAGGAGGAGGCCAGAAACAUCUGGAAGGGUCCGUCUUCCUCUGCCUAAAAUCAGUCUCCAUUAGCCCUAGAGUGGCUGGUGGUAGGGCUGUUGUGAGGAGAGCUCCGCGCCCGGGGCAGUGGGUAGUGGACUGUCCUCUGCCCCAUCCUAGCAGGAGAGGACAGAGAAAGGAGUGUCCCUCACGGUCAGCUCUGCAGCCACUCCUGCCUGCCACUUCUCCCCACCCGAAACGCCCACCUUCCUUCAUUUCUGAGGUGACAGUCAGGGACGAGGCUCAGUUACAGGUGGAAGUCUGUCCUGACUCAUUUGAGACCCAGCCAGGCAGGUCUUCUAUCUCCGAUAGACAUCACAAUGUAGCAAGCCUGAGAGAAUUCUGACUUAAUUGUGACUGAGUCUGUGGGGCCUCCCCGUUUCCUCCUGCACUUUGUCCUGGGAGCCUUCCGAAGCCUGGCUCCACCUUCUCCCAGCCUUGGUUCAUCAUCACCAUCUUUUCUCCGAUGAAGGACCAUCACAUCAGAUAAGGCAGGUUGGUCAUAGAGCCCCUCCCCCGAGAAGAGGGGAAGGUGGGAAAAGCAGCAGUUCCAGGGCCUACUUUUAAGAAGAAAGACUCGUGCCUCCGAGCAAAGCUUUACAGCUGUGGGUAAUUGGUACCCGUGAUGAACGCACCUCUGUGUUGAAUAGCACUGCUUCGAACUGUGGGCAUUCUACUUGUCUCACUCACAGGCAUAAAUAAAAAACAUGUCAACAAGCCACUAAACCAUUUCCUCCAGAUUUAAUAAAUUCUGGCUUUGUGAUUCUGUGAUUCAAACAAAUGGUAUUAAGAAACAAUAUUCACAGGUUUAAGAGUUUCAGCAAAUGAUGUCCAUUUGGGAAAGACACCUUCUGAACAAGCAAACAAAAAUUGUUUAACUCAUUAAAAACAGAGAUUUCCAUUUAGAAAUUAUAAGGAAUUCUUCUGUAAGCACACGCGUGUCCCUCCCUGAGAGGUGCUCUGGGCCUGAAUGAUCAUGGUUCGUGAUGCUUGCUGUUUCUUCUUUCAGAUGUGCUGGUUCUCUGAGUUCAUCAGUGGGUACCAGGCCCUUCCAGUUUCAGUUUGGCAGAAUAACCACAUUUCUUCCUUUUCAUAAAUUAUUCCAAUACAAUGAAAACAAGAAAAUAAAUCCAAACUCCACCUUUAACAAAAGUAGAGACAUGUGCACUUGCAAAUCUCAAAAUAUGAAGACAGAAAAUGGAUGCAGAAAAGAUGAGGAAACGGAGUCACAAAGGAGCUGUGUCAUUUGCCCAGGAUCAUGAGAAUUCUAUUGGGUGCUGAAGGAUGACAAAGAGAGGUCACCCCCUCCGACCAGAAUGUUGAUUAUACUUUUUAAAGAAAAGACUCAUCGAUGAUAAUUGAAAAAGAAUCUGUGAUGGCUAAGUUUGUGACAGAAUUAGAUGAAGUAAGAGCCAUUUUGAUGUAUUAUCAAGAAGUUUGAAGUGGAUUUCUGUCCCUCCCAAUGAGAAGAAGGCCUUCGUGUGUUACACCAAGCAGCUUGGUCUCCAAGACAUCCUUUAUAGUCUUUUUAACACUGCACUGGAUUCCACACUACUGGAGAUAGUUGAUUAGCAGUCCAUGCCUUUAAGACAAUGAUUUCCAGACGUGCUCUCUGUACACGGGCAGGAAAAAUGACGAUUACCUUCUGGACUUUUAUAUGUACAUAGUUAUUGUUCUCUGGUUACAAAUGUAACUGUGGAUGGUUAGCUUUUAUGUAAGAUUUUAAUCCCUCUCUCAUUUUUUCUACUGGAUACCUUUAUCCACACUAAUUAUGAUGGGCCAACCAGAACCUUGUGUAGAUCAUUAAACAAGUAAGAUAUCACAAUAUUCUGCAGACAUAAUUCAUCAUAAUGUCUGUGGUGAGAGAGUUCAGGGUAUUAAGACUUUCAUUUUCAUGCUGGUGGACAUACAGACACAAAUAACGAGCUAAAGAUUCUAGAUUUAUGCACAGUGGCACCAUGAAAAAUGUAGGAUUUUUGACAGAAAAAUGUCCCCCCAAAACUUAUUAUCAAUAGUCUACAUGUUGUA
Long non-coding RNA from Equus caballus (horse), 3363 nucleotides. The record is from Ensembl. Lineage: Eukaryota; Metazoa; Chordata; Mammalia; Perissodactyla; Equidae.